This is a long non-coding RNA of Homo sapiens (human), 963 nucleotides long. Lineage: Eukaryota; Metazoa; Chordata; Mammalia; Primates; Hominidae. The record is from Ensembl.
AGGACGGAGAAGGGGGCUGUAUUUCCCCUGGCGUGUGAAAUGGAUGUUAGUGACUAAAGCUCAAUUUUCCAGUUAAGGGAGGAGCCGAGACUUUUAAGUCGAGUGUUCCUGUGGGGCCAAAAGGAUGGUUUCAGAGAAAUCCCAGGAAGUGAGAGUGCUGGGAUAUGCGAGGGGCCCACGGAGCCCUCCCCUGCGUGUCUGAGAUCACACCCUGCGGGUACCCUGCCGUCGUGUGCUGAAGGAGGUGACUGGAUCUCGACUCCAGAGUUUGCUCCUGAGAUCGAAAAACAAAACAACCCAAUAAUAGAUACAAGAUGGAAAAAAAAGCUAUUGAACUUGUGGAGAAAGUGGCUGGUUUAAAUUAGUCCUGUCCCUGAAAAUCCAAGCUGCGUGUUUGUCAGUCUUAUGGCUGAUUUAACUCAUAGGCCCAGGAGAGAAAGGAUAGAAGGAAGCCUGAAUGACCAGCAAAGAAUCUGCAUCCAAUCAACACUCAGAGCAUGUAUGCUACAUUCUUCAGAAACCUUCAGGAGUCAUAGACUGUGGUCAGUUCUUCGUCAGAAUUAUUUUAGAUUUACUUCAGUUGUUUUUUCAUCAAAUGCACAUAAAACAUGGAAUUGUUCUUAGCUGUGCAGACCUUGUCUAUUUUCUGAAAGGAAAAACAAUGUUAAUUUUUAAAGCCCUACAUACAUUACAUCUUUGUACUUUUCAAAUCAUUGUGUCACCCCCUUCCCUUCUCUUUUGAAGGUGCCUGGCUGAAUCUCUCCUAUUCUCACAAUGGCUUUGCCUCCAUUCUGCUGAAGUCGCUUCCCAUUGCUCACAUUAUUAUACUGUUUUUACUUCACUUCCAAGCUUGUUUCUGACUACACAAAGGGUGCUGUAAUUCUGAGUUCCCUAUAUAUAGAGUUGCUUUUCCAGGAACAUUAUUAAUAAAAGGAAAGGUCUUCCUUUUCCAUUAUGGAGAUA